GCAAGUCGAACGCGAACGGUUUCCUUCGGGGGACUUAGUAGAGUGGCGAACGGGUGAGUAACGCGUAGGUGAUCUACCUUUAAGUGGGGGAUAGCCCAGGGAAACCUGGAUUAAUACCGCAUGUGAUCGACGUAAGUCGAUCAAAGACGGCCUCUGUUACAAGCUGUUGCUUAAAGAUGAGCCUGCGUCCUAUUAGCUAGUUGGUAAGGUAAUGGCUUACCAAGGCGAUUAUAGGUAGGCGGCCUUAACGGGUGGUC
Molecule: ribosomal RNA, 257 nt
Filed under: uncultured bacterium
Lineage: Bacteria
Description: partial 16S ribosomal RNA
Rfam family: Bacterial small subunit ribosomal RNA
Source: RNAcentral